This 2904-nucleotide ribosomal RNA is filed under the name Escherichia coli. Its description in RNAcentral is "23S ribosomal RNA". It matches the Rfam family "Bacterial large subunit ribosomal RNA". The record is from RNAcentral. Lineage: Bacteria; Pseudomonadati; Pseudomonadota; Gammaproteobacteria; Enterobacterales; Enterobacteriaceae. RNAcentral also lists the same sequence under 1 other name.
GGUUAAGCGACUAAGCGUACACGGUGGAUGCCCUGGCAGUCAGAGGCGAUGAAGGACGUGCUAAUCUGCGAUAAGCGUCGGUAAGGUGAUAUGAACCGUUAUAACCGGCGAUUUCCGAAUGGGGAAACCCAGUGUGUUUCGACACACUAUCAUUAACUGAAUCCAUAGGUUAAUGAGGCGAACCGGGGGAACUGAAACAUCUAAGUACCCCGAGGAAAAGAAAUCAACCGAGAUUCCCCCAGUAGCGGCGAGCGAACGGGGAGCAGCCCAGAGCCUGAAUCAGUGUGUGUGUUAGUGGAAGCGUCUGGAAAGGCGCGCGAUACAGGGUGACAGCCCCGUACACAAAAAUGCACAUGCUGUGAGCUCGAUGAGUAGGGCGGGACACGUGGUAUCCUGUCUGAAUAUGGGGGGACCAUCCUCCAAGGCUAAAUACUCCUGACUGACCGAUAGUGAACCAGUACCGUGAGGGAAAGGCGAAAAGAACCCCGGCGAGGGGAGUGAAAAAGAACCUGAAACCGUGUACGUACAAGCAGUGGGAGCACGCUUAGGCGUGUGACUGCGUACCUUUUGUAUAAUGGGUCAGCGACUUAUAUUCUGUAGCAAGGUUAACCGAAUAGGGGAGCCGAAGGGAAACCGAGUCUUAACUGGGCGUUAAGUUGCAGGGUAUAGACCCGAAACCCGGUGAUCUAGCCAUGGGCAGGUUGAAGGUUGGGUAACACUAACUGGAGGACCGAACCGACUAAUGUUGAAAAAUUAGCGGAUGACUUGUGGCUGGGGGUGAAAGGCCAAUCAAACCGGGAGAUAGCUGGUUCUCCCCGAAAGCUAUUUAGGUAGCGCCUCGUGAAUUCAUCUCCGGGGGUAGAGCACUGUUUCGGCAAGGGGGUCAUCCCGACUUACCAACCCGAUGCAAACUGCGAAUACCGGAGAAUGUUAUCACGGGAGACACACGGCGGGUGCUAACGUCCGUCGUGAAGAGGGAAACAACCCAGACCGCCAGCUAAGGUCCCAAAGUCAUGGUUAAGUGGGAAACGAUGUGGGAAGGCCCAGACAGCCAGGAUGUUGGCUUAGAAGCAGCCAUCAUUUAAAGAAAGCGUAAUAGCUCACUGGUCGAGUCGGCCUGCGCGGAAGAUGUAACGGGGCUAAACCAUGCACCGAAGCUGCGGCAGCGACGCUGAUGCGUUGUUGGGUAGGGGAGCGUUCUGUAAGCCUGUGAAGGUGUGCUGUGAGGCAUGCUGGAGGUAUCAGAAGUGCGAAUGCUGACAUAAGUAACGAUAAAGCGGGUGAAAAGCCCGCUCGCCGGAAGACCAAGGGUUCCUGUCCAACGUUAAUCGGGGCAGGGUGAGUCGACCCCUAAGGCGAGGCCGAAAGGCGUAGUCGAUGGGAAACAGGUUAAUAUUCCUGUACUUGGUGUUACUGCGAAGGGGGGACGGAGAAGGCUAUGUUGGCCGGGCGACGGUUGUCCCGGUUUAAGCGUGUAGGCUGGUUUUCCAGGCAAAUCCGGAAAAUCAAGGCUGAGGCGUGAUGACGAGGCACUACGGUGCUGAAGCAACAAAUGCCCUGCUUCCAGGAAAAGCCUCUAAGCAUCAGGUAACAUCAAAUCGUACCCCAAACCGACACAGGUGGUCAGGUAGAGAAUACCAAGGCGCUUGAGAGAACUCGGGUGAAGGAACUAGGCAAAAUGGUGCCGUAACUUCGGGAGAAGGCACGCUGAUAUGUAGGUGAAGUCCCUCGCGGAUGGAGCUGAAAUCAGUCGAAGAUACCAGCUGGCUGCAACUGUUUAUUAAAAACACAGCACUGUGCAAACACGAAAGUGGACGUAUACGGUGUGACGCCUGCCCGGUGCCGGAAGGUUAAUUGAUGGGGUUAGCGCAAGCGAAGCUCUUGAUCGAAGCCCCGGUAAACGGCGGCCGUAACUAUAACGGUCCUAAGGUAGCGAAAUUCCUUGUCGGGUAAGUUCCGACCUGCACGAAUGGCGUAAUGAUGGCCAGGCUGUCUCCACCCGAGACUCAGUGAAAUUGAACUCGCUGUGAAGAUGCAGUGUACCCGCGGCAAGACGGAAAGACCCCGUGAACCUUUACUAUAGCUUGACACUGAACAUUGAGCCUUGAUGUGUAGGAUAGGUGGGAGGCUUUGAAGUGUGGACGCCAGUCUGCAUGGAGCCGACCUUGAAAUACCACCCUUUAAUGUUUGAUGUUCUAACGUUGACCCGUAAUCCGGGUUGCGGACAGUGUCUGGUGGGUAGUUUGACUGGGGCGGUCUCCUCCUAAAGAGUAACGGAGGAGCACGAAGGUUGGCUAAUCCUGGUCGGACAUCAGGAGGUUAGUGCAAUGGCAUAAGCCAGCUUGACUGCGAGCGUGACGGCGCGAGCAGGUGCGAAAGCAGGUCAUAGUGAUCCGGUGGUUCUGAAUGGAAGGGCCAUCGCUCAACGGAUAAAAGGUACUCCGGGGAUAACAGGCUGAUACCGCCCAAGAGUUCAUAUCGACGGCGGUGUUUGGCACCUCGAUGUCGGCUCAUCACAUCCUGGGGCUGAAGUAGGUCCCAAGGGUAUGGCUGUUCGCCAUUUAAAGUGGUACGCGAGCUGGGUUUAGAACGUCGUGAGACAGUUCGGUCCCUAUCUGCCGUGGGCGCUGGAGAACUGAGGGGGGCUGCUCCUAGUACGAGAGGACCGGAGUGGACGCAUCACUGGUGUUCGGGUUGUCAUGCCAAUGGCACUGCCCGGUAGCUAAAUGCGGAAGAGAUAAGUGCUGAAAGCAUCUAAGCACGAAACUUGCCCCGAGAUGAGUUCUCCCUGACUCCUUGAGAGUCCUGAAGGAACGUUGAAGACGACGACGUUGAUAGGCCGGGUGUGUAAGCGCAGCGAUGCGUUGAGCUAACCGGUACUAAUGAACCGUGAGGCUUAACCUU